GAUGAACGCUGGCGGCGUGCCUAAUACAUGCAAGUCGAGCGAACAGAUAAGGAGCUUGCUCCUUUGACGUUAGCGGCGGACGGGUGAGUAACACGUGGGUAACCUACCUAUAAGACUGGAAUAACUCCGGGAAACCAGGGCUAAUGCCGGAUAACAUUUAGAACCGCAUGGUUCUAAAGUGAAAGAUGGUUUUGCUAUCACUUAUAGAUGGACCCGCGCCGUAUUAGCUAGUUGGUAAGGUAACGGCUUACCAAGGCAACGAUACGUAGCCGACCUGAGAGGGUGAUCGGCCACACUGGAACUGAGACACGGUCCAGACUCCUACGGGAGGCAGCAGUAGGGAAUCUUCCGCAAUGGGCGAAAGCCUGACGGAGCAACGCCGCGUGAGUGAUGAAGGUCUUCGGAUCGUAAAACUCUGUUAUUAGGGAAGAACAAAUGUGUAAGUAACUGUGCACGUCUUGACGGUACCUAAUCAGAAAGCCACGGCUAACUACGUG
RNAcentral lists this ribosomal RNA (497 nucleotides) under uncultured bacterium. RNAcentral's name for it is "partial 16S ribosomal RNA". It matches the Rfam family "Bacterial small subunit ribosomal RNA", at positions 28 to 507 of the family's 1533-position model. The record is from RNAcentral.